This 496-nucleotide ribosomal RNA is filed under the name uncultured bacterium. RNAcentral's name for it is "partial 16S ribosomal RNA". It matches the Rfam family "Bacterial small subunit ribosomal RNA", at positions 28 to 506 of the family's 1533-position model. The record is from RNAcentral.
GACGAACGCUGGCGGCGUGCCUAAUACAUGCAAGUUGAGCGCUGAAGGUUGGUACUUGUCCCAACUGGAUGAGCAGCGAACGGGUGGGUAACGCGUGGGGAAUCUGCCUUUGAGCGGGGGACAACAUUUGGAAACGAAUGCUAAUACCGCAUAAAAACUUUAAACACAAGUUUUAAGUUUGAAAGAUGCAAUUGCAUCACUCAAAGAUGAUCCCGCGUUGUAUUAGCUAGUUGGUGAGGUAAAGGCUCACCAAGGCGAUGAUACAUAGCCGACCUGAGAGGGGGACAGGCCCACUUGGGACUGAAACACGGCCCAAACUCCUACGGGGGGCAGCAGUAGGGAAUCUUCGGAAAUGGACGAAAGUCUGACCGGGCAACGCCGGGUGGGUGAAGAAGGUUUUGGGAUCGUAAAACUGUGUGGGAAGGGAAGAACGUUGGGGGGGGUGGAAAGCCCAUCAAGUAACGGAAACGACCAAGAAGAGGAGGCUUAAUUACGU